AGGAAUCUUGUUCAAAGAGUUGAUAGACUGGAGAGGGAGAUACUUUCAAUGAGUCAUUAAGUCAGCACACAAGAAAGUACUAUGAAAGAACUAUCAGGCAUUUAUAUGUGCCAGGCAUUGGACAAGGCUCUGGGAAUGCAGCAGUGAACCAGACAAAAAUCUGUGCCCUCCUGGAGCUUAGAUUCCAAAAUAGACAUUAAACAUACCAAAUAGGUACUCUUUAAGGUAAUCUAGAAAUUGGUGACCUCUGGCGAGAAAAAGAAGGGGAGAGGUUGUGGACUUGGAGACAAGGAGGUUGCAAUUUUCAGUAAGAUGAUCAAAAUAGAUGACAUCUGAGUGGAGAGUUGAAGAGAAUAUGGUGGCAACCUGCUUUCAAAUGAAUGGUAAGAGAGGUGACAUUAAGCUGAGAUUAGAAGUGUGCCUGAGAGUUGAUCAGACAGAAAGAUAAAUGGAACAAGCAUAAAGAAAGAGCCAGGUACCCUAAGGAACACAGAGAAGCCCAUUUUGCAGAAACAUAGUGAAUUCAGGUACAAUGGUAUAAACUGAGAUUACAAGAAUAGAUAGGGUUUUGGGAUGUUUUAGACACCACUUUAAAGAGUUUGCAUUUAUCCCAAAUGCAGUGGGAAAUCAUUAGGAAGUUUGUGGUAAGAGACUAACCUUAUAAUUAUGUUUUAAAAUAUUGUUUUGGUGAUCAUGUCUAAAUGGAGCAAGAAUGGUAGCAUAGAGCCCAAGAGGUAGGAGUUGCUUUGAUAAUGUAUUU
Molecule: long non-coding RNA, 760 nt
Filed under: Marmota monax (woodchuck)
Lineage: Eukaryota; Metazoa; Chordata; Mammalia; Rodentia; Sciuridae
Source: RNAcentral